UACGGAGGGUGCGAGCGUUGUCCGGAAUCAUUGGGCGUAAAGGGCGCGUAGGUGGCCUGUUAAGCGUGCGGUGAAAGCUCGGGGCUCAACCCCGAGUCGGCCGUGCGAACUGGGAGGCUGGAGCACUGUAGAGGCAGGCGGAAUUCCGGGUGUAGCGGUGGAAUGCGUAGAGAUCCGGAAGAACACCGGUGGCGAAGGCGGCCUGCUGGGCAGUUGCUGACACUGAGGCGCGACAGCGUGGGGAGCAAACAGG
RNAcentral lists this ribosomal RNA (253 nucleotides) under uncultured bacterium. RNAcentral describes it as "partial 16S ribosomal RNA". It matches the Rfam family "Bacterial small subunit ribosomal RNA", at positions 524 to 776 of the family's 1533-position model. The record is from RNAcentral.